AGAGGUGUAACUCAGUUGGUAGAGUGCUUACCUAAUAUAUAUAAAGCCUGGGUUCCAUCCCAGCACUGCGU
Molecule: transfer RNA, 71 nt
Filed under: Mus musculus (house mouse)
Lineage: Eukaryota; Metazoa; Chordata; Mammalia; Rodentia; Muridae
Rfam family: tRNA
About the family: Transfer RNA (tRNA) molecules are approximately 80 nucleotides in length. Their secondary structure includes four short double-helical elements and three loops (D, anti-codon, and T loops). Further hydrogen bonds mediate the characteristic L-shaped molecular structure. tRNAs have two regions of fundamental functional importance: the anti-codon, which is responsible for specific mRNA codon recognition, and the 3' end, to which the tRNAs corresponding amino acid is attached (by aminoacyl-tRNA synthetases). tRNAs cope with the degeneracy of the genetic code in two manners: having more than one tRNA (with a specific anti-codon) for a particular amino acid; and 'wobble' base-pairing, i.e. permitting non-standard base-pairing at the 3rd anti-codon position.
Source: Rfam by way of RNAcentral